RNAcentral lists this ribosomal RNA (492 nucleotides) under uncultured bacterium. RNAcentral describes it as "partial 16S ribosomal RNA". It matches the Rfam family "Bacterial small subunit ribosomal RNA", at positions 29 to 507 of the family's 1533-position model. The record is from RNAcentral.
AGUGAACGCUGGCGGUAGGCCUAACACAUGCAAGUCGAACGGCAGCACCGUAAGAGCUUGCUCUUACGGGUGGCGAGUGGCGGACGGGUGAGGAAUACAUCGGAAUCUACUUUUUCGUGGGGGAUAACGUAGGGAAACUUACGCUAAUACCGCAUACGACCUACGGGUGAAAGCAGGGGAUCUUCGGACCUUUCGCGAUUGAAUGAGCCGAUGUCGGAUUAGAUAGUUGGCGGGGUAAGGGCCCACCACGGCGACGAUCCGUAGCUGGUCUGAGAGGAUGAUCAGCCACACUGGAACUGAGACACGGUCCAGACUCCUACGGGAGGCAGCAGUGGGGAAUAUUGGACAAUGGGCGCAAGCCUGAUCCAGCCAUACCGCGUGGGUGAAGAAGGCCUUCGGGUUGUAAAGCCCUUUUGUUGGGAAAGAAAAGCAGCAGGUUAAUACCCCGCUGUUCUGACGGUACCCAAAGAAUAGACACCGGCUAACUUCGUG